ACGUUAGCGGCGGACGGGUGAGUAACACGUGGGUAACCUACCUAUAAGACUGGGAUAACUUCGGGAAACCGGAGCUAAUACCGGAUAAUAUUUCGAACCGCAUGGUUCGAUAGUGAAAGGUGGUUUUGCUAUCACUUAUAGAUGGACCCGCGCCGUAUUAGCUAGUUGGUAAGGUAACGGCUUACCAAGGCGACUAUACGUAGCCGACCUGAGAGGGUGAUCGGCCACACUGUAACUGAGACACGGUCCAGACUCCUACGGGAGGCAGCAGCG
This 273-nucleotide ribosomal RNA is filed under the name uncultured Staphylococcus sp. Its description in RNAcentral is "partial 16S ribosomal RNA". It matches the Rfam family "Bacterial small subunit ribosomal RNA", at positions 89 to 356 of the family's 1533-position model. Lineage: Bacteria; Bacillati; Bacillota; Bacilli; Caryophanales; Staphylococcaceae. The record is from RNAcentral.